Molecule: long non-coding RNA, 500 nt
Organism: Frankliniella occidentalis (western flower thrips)
Lineage: Eukaryota; Metazoa; Arthropoda; Insecta; Thysanoptera; Thripidae
Exons: 4
Source: RefSeq, a predicted model, not a curated record
GCCGCGCCGUGUGGCGACGUGUGAACGAAAAUCGUGAGUUGAUGAAGUUUGUGUGGUGUCAUUAUGGAGAAGAAUCUAGAUGAUACCCUGGUGUCGUUUGGUGCCCAUGCCGACGUCUUCGGUCUAUUUCAAGUGGACCCAGAACGUGGAUGCAUGAAAGGGAGGGCAUAUUGUGAUACAAGCCGUCGUCGACAAAAACCAUUGGUCUGCCGCUCCAAACCUCUCUCUCAUCGCGGAGGUUGACUCUGGAUCCGCGCCUGGAACGGACGACGACAGCGACACGACACGUACAUGCCUCUGGGGUGGUCCAACUAGCGGGCCCUUUUCACUCGGGCCGGAUUCAGCCACAUCCUCCCUCCCCUGGCUCGCCCAGACACGACCCCUGGCCUCCGAGGAGCUCCACCAGGGUUUUUUCGCCUGUUGUCGCAGUAGACUAGCAAGCGUGCUGUCUCUGGCCGCUUUCGUCCAACAACUUGGGAACUCCUCAUAAUUCUCGCCGG